RNAcentral lists this ribosomal RNA (253 nucleotides) under uncultured bacterium. RNAcentral's name for it is "partial 16S ribosomal RNA". It matches the Rfam family "Bacterial small subunit ribosomal RNA", at positions 524 to 776 of the family's 1533-position model. The record is from RNAcentral.
UACGGAGGAUGCAAGCGUUAUCCGGAAUGAUUGGGCGUAAAGCGUCCGCAGGUGGCUGUGUAAGUCUGCUGUUAAAGAGUCUAGCUCAACUAGAUACAAGCAGUGGAAACUACACGGCUAGAGUACGUUCGGGGCAGAGGGAAUUUCCGGUGGAGCGGUGAAAUGCGUAGAGAUCGGAAAGAACACCAACGGCGAAAGCACUCUGCUGGGCCGACACUGACACUGAGAGACGAAAGCUAGGGGAGCGAAUGGG